Molecule: long non-coding RNA, 17262 nt
Filed under: Zea mays
Lineage: Eukaryota; Viridiplantae; Streptophyta; Magnoliopsida; Poales; Poaceae
Description: long non-coding RNA (ZMAY_LNC000535)
Source: RNAcentral
CUCGCCAGCGUCGUGGUUCUACGCAUCAUCGUGAAUAGGAGCCCCUGUGCUGCGCAAUCGAAGGUAAUAGCAUCAUCAUAUGGCUUGCUUCCUUCUCUAUUGCGCAUAGCGUCCGUUAGCAGGAAGAACGGGUCCCGGAUGGCCGGGGCGUCUGCUCGCCGGCGCGGUGCCGCCGCGGUUGGGGACGCCGCCGCGGUCUAGGGGCGUUGGUUGAGGGAGUAAUGGGAAGCGUAGAUUUAUUGACGAUCAGCCUGGAUUAGAUGUUAGGGUGUUGCGCCGGGCGCCAUUGAUCCCGCGGGCUUCUGAUCGGACGGCCGAAUUUCUCUAUACCCCUUCGACCGUGGCAAAAUUCUUAAAGAGCCCCUGAUCUUCACAGUACUCAACCCGCCGUCCUCGGCCGAUGUAAAGUAAUUGCUAUUGAGCCCUGUAUAUUUAUAAACUAGCCCAUGUACUCUUUAGAAUUUGUAGCAGCAGUCCAUAGCCUUUGUUUUCGGUAAAUAGAAUUUUAGAAAAUGAUUUAUAAUAUAGAAUAAUCUUAGAUAAUUCAUAACUUCUCCAUUUUAACCCCUUUUUUUAACCCAUUCCAGUUGUAAUAAUUUUUUUAUAUUGUCUAUCAACUUGUAACACUGUUUAGCCAUGAAACUUGAAUUAAAAUUAUUCAUUAAGAUUAAUCUAUUCUAAGUACUGAAUAAUUUCAGAAGUUAAUAACUUAAUGACUGUAACUUCGAAUUUAGUGGUUCUUGUUUCUGCGAUCUCGUAGCAACGUGUAGAAUAUUAUUAUUUAGUCUGCUCUUAUGUUUGGUGUGAUGUUAAUUUUGUCUAUACCAUGUAUGUUUGUAUUACUACGACUAGCAGUGAGAACACGUGUCAUCUAAAGAGCAAGUUGGUACCUGGAAUCUCAAGUCCCAGGCAAGUUGUGCCCUUGAUCACUUCUUUUACCCACUCAUGUUCUAAUUAAUCAUAAUGAUCUGCAUAGGUUAAUUUUGAUGGGACCUAAUAGGUUACCCUAGUUUGUCUAUCUUUAUGCCUUGUUUACCACUGAACUUUUUGGGUAGUACUUGCUAGUGCUAUAUGUGGUUUUGGGCAUUGAGAUACACAUUAUUCAUGAUUAUACUUUUGUUAUCCGUUGUUAGUUACUGUUCAUGUCAAGAUCAUUAAUGUUAAUUGGAACAUAGAGCUUACCUUGAGAAACACGUGCCACCACAAGGGUUUAUGGACACCCUUGGCUGAUUAAUUAGGAAAGCUAGUGGAGGACUACCUUACCCGAAAGGGCAAGGGCAGUAGGGGAGUGGUCAGUGUAGGGAGGUCCUUGGUUGAUUUUGCUGCGAUGGCGGUCAGACAAGAACCCUGCAUUGGAGCUUCCUAUAAACUGUAGCGAGUUUUCUGAAGCUAGUGGAACUCUGUAAAGGCCUCGUAGGUACCGCAGGAUGAGCUCGUAUGUGAGCGAUGAACGUAUGUGAGCUCACUCUUGCUGUCUCACACCCCCCCACAGGUCAAGAACAGGUACCGCAGGAUGAGGCGCAUGGAGGAUGCUGCGAUGAGUUCGUGAGAGAGAUCUAGGCCGUCGUCUCCCAGUCAACUUUGGGUUGCUGGACCGGUGUCUCCUUAUAAUGUAAUUAUUUAUUUUGUAUAGAACUCCUGUUAUGUAGUAAAGAUGUGACAUUCGAUCCUGUGCCAUGAUUCAUCAUAUGUGUGAGACUUGGUCCCAGCACACCUGGUGAUUAUGUUCGCGCCCGGGCUUUGGACCCCUAAAACCCGGGUGUGACAACCAUGAAGUGGCCUUUAACACUCUUAAGCAGUCCCUGUCUUCAGCCCCAGUUUUAGCUCUGCCCAAUUUCGCAAUGCCCUUUGCUAUUGAGUUUGAUGCCUCGAGUUUGGGGAUUGGUGCGGUGCCGUUACAAGACGGUCAUCCUCUAGCCUUUGUCAGCAAAGCACUUGGGUCCAAAACUAAAGGCCUUUCGACUUAUGAAAAUGAGUAUUUAGCAAUUAGUCUUCCAGUCACUCAGUGGAGACAAUAUUUACAACAUUCGGAAUUUCUCAUCUAUACUGAUCAUAGAAGUUUAUCCCAUCUUACAGAGCAGAAGUUGCAUAGGCAGCAGAAAAUGUUUUUCAAACUAUUAGGGUUGCAGUACCGAGUGGUAUAUAAGAAAGGAGUGGAAAAUGGGGCAGCCGACGCAUUGUCUCGCAGACCGGCCACCGAAGCUAUGUUGUGUAGUGUAUCCUCUUCGGUGCCUCAAUGGCUUAUUAAGGUGUUAGACAGCUACAACCAAGACCCUCAAGCCCAAAAAAUACUGACUGAACUUGUGGUCCAACAAGACAAUUCUGCACCUUAUUCCAUACAGUCGGGUAUAAUUCGUUACAAAGGCCGAGUUUGGGUUGGCAAUGAUUCUCAUCUUCAGCAUAACAUCAUAGCUGCAUUGCAUGACAGUCCCUUGGGAGGACAUUCUGGAUUUGUAGUUACCUAUCAGCGUGUUAAACAGUUGUUCUCUUGGAAAGGUAUGAAAGAUCAGAUCAAGUAUUACGUUGUUGGUUGUUCUGUACGUCAUCAGUCUAAGCCUGACAGAAGCAAAUAUCCUGGACUUCUUCAACCUGUACCAGUGCCUGAGCAGUCUUGGCAAGUCAUAAGUAUGGACUUUGUGGAAGGGCUUCCUCGAUCCCGUAAUGCUGAUACUAUCUUAGUGGUGGUGGAUGUUUUUUCUAAAUACACCCAUUUCUUGCCAUUGCUUCACCCUUAUACUGCACUCAAAGUGGCUCAAGUCUUUAUGGAUUCAGUUUACAAGUUGCAUGGGUUGCCUCAUUCCAUAAUAUCAGACUAGGAUAAAAUCUUUACAAGCCACUUUUGGCAGGAGCUGUUUCGGUUGUCGGGCAUAGCCUUGAAGAUGAGUUCUUCGUAUCAUCCUCAAACGGAUGGUCAAACUGAAAGACUUAAUCAAUGUUUGGAGACAUUUUUCUUCGCAGCUUUGUGCACGCAUGUCCUUCCAAAUGGUUAUCAUGGUUGGCAUUGGCAGAGUACUGGUAUAAUACCAGCUUCCAUUCUUCAUUGGGCAUUACUCCUUUUGAGGUAAUGUAUGGUCGACAUCCUAGACAUCUGGGUAUCUCUAUGGUCGAUGUGUCCACAACAAAUGAUUUACAUGCUUGGAUGCAAGACCGGGAAUUGAUGGUAUGACUGGUCAGACAACAUCUUCUACGGGCUCAGCAAAGGAUUAAAACUCAGGCUGAUAAAGGAAGGACAGAUCGUGAGUUCUACGUGGGGGAUUCAGUAUACCUCAAACUUCAGCCAUAUGUACAGAGCUCUGUUGCUCGCCGCGCCAAUCACAAGCCAAGCUUUAAGUAUUUUGGCCCCUACACUGUUUUACAGUGCAUUGGCAAGGCAGCUUACAAAUUGCUUCUGCCACCGUCCACUUCUAUACAUCCUAUCUUUCAUGUGUCUCAACUCAAACAAUCCUUGGGUCCUAAUCAGGUGGCUGCUGUCCUUCCAGAUCAGAUUGAUCCUUUACAAGUUUCUCAGCAGAUAUUGGAUCGACGUCUUAUCAAUAGGGGCAACCAUCAGGUGUCCCGGGUUUUGAUCAAAUGGUCCAACCUUGACGCAUCUCUUUCUACAUGGGAGGAUGAAGUAGCGCUUCGUGCAAGGUUUCCUUCAGCUGCUGCUUGGGGUCAAGCAGCUUUUCAAGGCGGAGGUAAUGUCAGCAACCCGGACACAUAGGAGCAGGCAAGCACGGGAGAAGCCAUGACGGCUGAGCCAGGACGAAGGAUGGGCCGGCGCAGCCGAAGGCCUAGUUCCAGGAUCGCGGGAGCAGAGUGGAUUCGUUAAGCACCAAGGCCCAAAUACCUCAUUGCUAGCUAGAGGCUAGCUGUAAUAAAUAGAAGAGACUUGUAACAGGAAAACAGUUUUGAUUCAGUAAUCGAAAUUCAUAGCCGCGGCCACAGCGGCGACAGCUUCUCCGGCUCAUCGUCGGUGAACCAACAGUGGUUGCUGACAUGCUUGUUGACACUUUUUUUGAGGAAUCAACGUGGAGAGGGCGAGGAGCCCCACCUGAACAUUGUUGACACUAGUACUGGUAUCCCAAUAUAUGGAAUUGCUAAGUUUCAAUUAGUUCUUUGGGUUUGAAGGGAACCCAUGUACACUUUGUUCAUGUUGUUCUGGAUUGCUUUCUGUUAGUUGGAUUGCUACCAUUUUACAUGACGUAGGAGAUAACCACACAAUCUAUUAGAUACAACAUCUAGACUACCAAAUAUACUCUUAACACAUAUGACAGUCUACGAGACACAAUAUCUAGACUACCAGAUGCACGAAACACAAUUUCUGAGUUCACUCAAAGGAAUUAGCCUGAGAUGGACAACUCCUUGUUCCAUUCCCAUGAAUCUGCAGUAAAGCAGGGAGUCAGGUAGCCUGGAGAGGAAGCACUCCAACACUGUUCAUAUAAAAGGACAACGAAUUCAGCAAGAGCAGGGAAGAGUUGAUGCUGCUCAACAUGACCACACAUGAGGCACACCAAUCUCUGCCUUUCAAGAAUCAGUAAAAUGGUAUCUGCAAGAUGUGUUACUCUGCAUUCGCUUGUUGUGAAACACAUAUAUAGUUGCAAAAAUGUAGUGGUGAGAAUCUAGAACUCUGUCAAACAGUGACAGAUCUAGUAAUGAAUUUAAAAGAAGGAAUAGUAGGAUAAGACUUGUUAUUCCGAUAUCGAGCCAAGGGAGAGCGCUGCAACGAUGUCCCCACAUGCUUGGCGUGCUGCAGCUUGCACCCACGCGGCAGCAUGGGUGUGCAGUGCGUUGGCCACCGAGCCGUAUGUUGCGGCGCUGGUGUUAGAGUACCCAUUAGGGUUUUAGGUAUUUUCUGUGUAAUUACCCUCUCGCUCCUACUAUAAUGGGUAUGGCUUAACUAUCGAGUCUAUUAAUACAUUUUCAACCCACUCAGGGGUUUGAGUUUCCCACACGGUCUCCUCCUUCGACCAUUCUCGACGUCGGAGCUUGUGGUCUACACCAACGCCGACUGAGCCGGCUGCCCCGACACGCGCCGAUACACCUCCAGCUAUACCGUAUUCCUGGGCGCCAACCUCGUCUCCUGGGCUGCCAAGCGGCAGCCCGUCGUCUUCCGCUCCAGCGCAGAGGCCGAGUACCACGCUGUAGCCAACGGCGUGGCAGAGGCCUCCUGGAUGCGCCAGCUCCACCACGAGCUCCACGACCCCUUCAGCGCGCCACCCUCGUCUACUGCGACAACGUCAGCGCCGUCUAUCUCUCCACCAAUCCCGUGCAGCAUCAGCGCACGAAGCAUGUACUAUGGAGAUCGACAUGCACUUCGUUUGGGAGCGUGUCGCUGCAGGUGACGUUCGGGUCCUCAGCGUCCCCAUAACGCUGCAGUUCGCUGACAUAUUCACCAAGGAGCUACUGUCGAGUGUAUUCCUAGACUUUUGCUCCACUCUCAAUAUCUGUACAUGAAAGGGAAAUGUGCCCUUGGGCUAUUUCUAAGUAUUUUGGUGAUUUAGUGUCCAACACAAGUGCCUAAGUGUAAAAUGUGGACAAAGUACAAAUCAAGGAUAAAGGUAUGUUUCUCAGACUUAGUACAUUGUUUUAGUGACUAAUGUAUUGUGUCUAAGUGUUGGAAACAGGAAAAAUCGAAUUGGAAAUGAGAUGGCUUUGUUCAGCCAAAGUCUGCUCAGUCUGGGAGCACCGGACUGUCCGGUGGUGCAUCGGACAGUGUCCGGUGCGCCAGGCUGGCUCUGGCGAACAGGCCGCUCUCGGGAAUUCAUCGGCGACGUACGGCUAUAAUUCACCGGACUGUCCGGUGUGCACCGGACUGUCCGGUGAGCCAACGGUCGGCCGAGCCAACGGUCGGCCGCGCGAUCUGCGCGGGACACGUGGCUGAGCCAACGGCUAGAAGGGGGCACCGGACUGUCCGGUGUGCAUCGGACAUGUCCGGUGCGCCAACGGCUCUCAGACUGCCAACGUCGACUGCGCCAUUUAUGGAAAGAAAUCGGGCACCGGACAUGUCCGGUGUGCACCGGACUGUCCGGUGCUCCAGUCGACAGAAGGCAAGAUCAACCUUCCUAGAUUGCUCUCAACGGCUCCUAGCUGCCUUGGGGCUAUAAAAGGGACCCCUAGGCGCAUGGAGGAGUACACCAAGCAUCCUUUGAGCACUAUUGAUCACUCACACAUCAUUCUUGCGCACUUGUUCGCCAUUCUAGUGAUUUGAGCCUCGUUCUAGUGUGCUAGUCUUUUGAGCUCAAGUCUGAGUCUUGUGUGUGCGUAGUUGCUGUGAUCUUUGUGUCUUGUGUGAGUUGCUCAUCCCUCCCUUACUCCGUGAUUCUUUGUGAACAUCAAAAGUGUAAGGGCGAGAGGCUCCAAGUUGUGGAGAUUCCUCGCGAACGGGAUAAGAAAAGAAAAGCAAAACACCGUGGUAUUCAAGUUGAUCAUUGGAUCACUUGAGAGGAGUUGAGUGCAACUCUCGUCCGUUGGGACGCCACAACGUGGAGUAGGCAAGUUUUGUACUUGGCCGAACCACGGGAUAAACCACUGUGUCAUCUCUGUGUUGAUCUCUUUGAGGUUAUCGUAUUGUGCAAAUUCUUCUCUCUAGCCACUUGGUGAUUAUUGUGCUAACACUUAACCAAGUUUUGUGGCUUAAGUUUUAAGUUUUACAGGAUCACCUAUUCACCCCCCCUCUAGGUGCUCUCAAUUGGUAUCAGAGCCGUUCUCUUCACAAAGGGACUAACCGCUCGAAGAGAUGGAUCCUAAGAGGAAGGGUAUCAUGAUCAACGAUAAAGAGAAGGAAUCUUUCGUCAACGAGCCAAAGGAUGACAAGCCUACCGACUCGGGCUCGGGUCAUAGACGAAAAGAUGGGAAGAAGAAGAAGACAAGGCGCAUUAAGGAGAUCGUCUACUACGACGACAGUGAUGAGUCCACUUCUUCCCACAAGGAAAACGACAACAACGACUACGACAAACGAAAGACGGUUAACUCGAACUUUUCUUUCGAUUAUUCGCGUAUUCCUCAAAGUGCAAAUGCUCAUUUAUUAUCUAUUCCACUUGGUAAACCUCCUCAUUUUGAUGGAGAGGACUACGGAUUUUGGAGUCACAAAAUGCGUAGUCACUUGUUCUCUCUCCAUCCUAGUAUAUGGGAGAUUGUAGAGAGUGGAAUGCACUUUGAUAGUUCAGAUAGUCCCAUGUUCAUUAAUGAGCAAAUUCAUAAGAAUGCACAAGCUACUACUGUUCUUCUAGCUUCAUUGUGCAGGGAUGAAUACCACAAAGUGAGCGGCUUGGAUAACGCCAAGCAGAUCUGGGACACCCUCAAGAUUUCACAUGAGGGGAACGACAUCACCUUGCUCACCAAGAUGGAGUUGGUGGAGGGCGAGCUUGGACGAUUCGCGAUGAUAAGGGGCGAGGAGCCGACACAAACAUACAACCGGCUCAAGACCCUUAUCAACAAAAUAAGGAGCUACGGAAGCACGCGAUGGACGGACCACGACGUCGUCCGAUUGAUGCUAAGGUCCUUUACCGUUCUUGAUCCUCAUUUGGUGAAUAACAUUCGUGAGAAUCCCAGGUACACCAAAAUGUCGCCCGAAGAAGUCCUUGGAAAAUUCGUAAGCGGGCGAAUGAUGAUCAAGGAAGCGAGGUACGUGGACGACGCUCUAAACGGUCCAAUCAAUGAGCCUCAAACCGUUGCUCUCAAGGCAACAAGGAGCAAGGAGGCGUUACCCAGCAAGGUAGCACAAAUUGAGGCCGCUGGACUUAAUGAUGAAGAGAUGGCUCUCAUCAUCAAGAGAUUCAAGACGGCGCUUAAGGGUCGCAAGGGACAGCCAAGCAAGACCAAAGCCAAGGGGAAGCGCUCAUGCUUCAAAUGCGGUAAGAUUGGUCAUUUUAUUGCUAACUGUCCCGAUAAUGAAAGUGACCAGGAACACGGGAGCAAGAGGGAAAAGAAGAAAAAUUACAAGAAGGCCAAGGGCGAGGCACAUCUAGGAAAGGAGUGGGACUCGGAUUGCUCCUCCUCUGACUCCGACAAUGAAGGACUCGCCGCCACCGCCUUCAACAAGUCAUCUCUCUUCCCCAACGAGCGUCACACAUGCCUUAUGGCAAGAGAGAAAAAGGUAUGUAGUCGAAACUCUACUUAUGCUUCUUCAAGUGAGGACGAAUCUAGUGAUGAGGAUGAAAUAGAUUAUUCAUGUUUAUUUAAGGGCCUAGAUAGAACCAAGGUAGAUAAAAUUAAUGAAUUGAUUGAUGCCUUGAAUGAUAAGAAUAGGCUUUUAGAAAAACAAGAGGACUUGUUGUAUGAAGAACAUGACAAAUUUGUAGAAGCACAAAAAUCCCAUGCCUUAGAAGUUAAGAGAAAUGAAAUGCUUUCUUAUGAAUUAUCUUCUUGCCAUGAGACAAUUUCUAGCUUAAGGAGCAUUAAUGAUGAUUUGAAUGCUAAGUUAGAAAUAGCUAGUAAAUCAACAACUUGUGUAGAAAAUGUUGUUAUUUGUAAUAGAUGUAAAGAUUUUGAUAUUGAUGCUUGUAGUGAACACAUAGCUUCUAUUGCAAAGUUAAAUGAUGAAAUGGCUAGUCUUAAUGCCCAACUUAAGGCUAGCAGAAGUGAUUUUGAUAAACUAAAAUUUGCUAGGGAUGCCUACACGAUUGGUAGACACCCCUCAAUUAAGGAUGGGCUUGGCUUCAAAAGGGAAGCCAAGAACUUAACAAGCCAUAAGGCUCCCAUCUCCGCCAAGGAGAAAGGGAAGGCCCCUAUGGCAAGUAGUACUAAAAAGAAUCAUGCUUUUAUGUACAAUGAUAGAAGACAAUCUCAUAGGAGUUGUAAUGCGUUUGAUUCACAUGCCUAUGAUUCUUAUGCUAUGUAUUCUUCCAGUUCUUCCUAUAUGCAUAGUAGAGAUAUGCCUAGGAAAAAUAUUCAUCAUGUGCCUAGAAAGAAUAUUGUUCAUGCUCCUAGGAAAGUUAUGAAUGGACCCUCUACAAUUUAUCAUGCUUUAAAUGUUUCCUUUGCUAUUUGUAGAAAGGAUAAGAAGGUAAUUGCUAGGAAAUUAGGGGCAAAAUGCAAGGGUGAUAAAACUUGCAUUUGGGUUCCUAAGACAAUUUUGACUAACCUUGUAGGACCCAACAAGAGUUGGGUACCUAUGACCCAAGCCUAAAUUUGCCUUGCAGGUUUAUGCAUCCGGGGGCUCAAGCUAGAUUAUCGACAGCGGAUGCACAAACCAUAUGACGGGGGAGAAGGAGAUGUUUACCUCCUACGUCAAGAAUAAGGAUUCCCAAGAUUCAAUCAUAUUCGGUGAUGGGAACCAAGGCAAGGUGAAAGGUUUAGGCAAGAUUGCAAUAUCCAAUGAGCACUCUAUCUCUAAUGUGUUUUUAGUUGAGUCUCUUGGAUAUAAUUUACUAUCUGUCAGUCAAUUAUGUAAUAUGGGAUAUAAUUGUCUAUUUACAAAUGUAGAUGUGUCUGUCUUUAGAAGAUGUGAUGGUUCACUAGCUUUUAAGGGUGUACUAGACGACAAACUUUAUUUAGUUGAUUUUGCAAAAGAGGAGGCUGGUCUAGAUGCAUGCUUAAUCGCUAAGACUAGCAUGGGCUGGCUGUGGCAUCGCCGCUUAGCACAUGUGGGGAUGAAGAACCUUCACAAGCUUCUAAAGGGAGAACACGUGAUAGGUUUGACUAACGUGCAAUUCGAAAAAGAUAGACCUUGUGCAGCUUGUCAAGCAGGUAAACAAGUGGGAGGAGCACAUCACAGCAAGAAUGUGAUGACCACCUCAAGACCUCUGGAGUUGCUGCAUAUGGACCUCUUCGGACCUGUCGCCUAUCUGAGCAUAGGAGGAAGUAAGUAUGGUCUAGUUAUUGUUGAUGACUUUUCACGCUUCACUUGGGUGUUCUUUCUGCAGGAUAAGUCUGAAACUCAAGGGACCCUAAAGCGCUUCCUAAGGAGAGCUCAAAAUGAGUUUGAGCUCAAGGUGAAGAAGAUAAGAAGCGACAAUGGGUCCGAGUUCAAGAACCUUCAAGUGGAGGAGUUCCUUGAGGAGGAGGGGAUCAAGCACGAGUUCUCCGCUCCCUACACACCUCAGCAAAAUGGUGUGGUAGAGAGGGAGAACAGGACGCUCAUAGAUAUGGCGAGGACUAUGCUUGGAGAGUUCAAGACCCCCGAGCACUUUUGCUCGGAAGCCGUGAACACGGCUUGUCACGCCAUCAACCGGGUCUACCUUCACCGCCUCCUCAAGAAGACUUCAUAUGAGCUGCUAACUGGUAACAAACCCAAUGUAUCGUACUUUCGUGUAUUUGGGAGUAAAUGCUAUAUUCUAGUGAAGAAGGGUAGGAAUUCCAAAUUUGCUCCCAAGGCUGUAGAAGGGUUUUUAUUAGGUUAUGACUCAAAUACAAAGGCGUAUAGGGUCUUCAACAAAUCAUCGGGUUUAGUUGAAGUCUCUAGCGACGUUGUAUUUGAUGAGACUAAUGGCUCUCCAAGUGAGCAAGUUGUUGAUCUUGAUGAUGUAGAUGAAGAAGACGGUCCAACGGCCGCGAUACGCACCAUGGAGAUUGGAGAUGUACGGCCUCAGGAACAUUUGGAGCAAGAUCAACCUUCUUCCUCAACUAUGGUGCAUCCCCCAACCCAAGAUGACGAACAGGUACCUCAAGUGGAGGCGCAUGAUCAAGGGGGAGCACAGGAUGUUCAAGUCGAAGAGGAAGAAGCAUCACAUGCACCUCCAACCCAAGUUCGAGCGACGAUCCAAAGGGAUCAUCCAGUCGAUCAAAUUCUUGGUGAUAUUAGCAAGGGAGUAACUACUCGGUCUCGAUUAGUUAAUUUUUGUGAGCAUUACUCCUUUGUCUCUUCUAUUGAGCCUUUCAGGGUAGAGGAGGCCUUGCUAGAUCCGGACUGGGUGUUGGCCAUGCAAGAGGAGCUCAACAACUUCAAGAGGAAUGAAGUUUGGACGCUGGUGCCUCGUCCUAAGCAAAAUGUUGUGGGAACCAAGUGGGUGUUCCGCAACAAACAAGACGAGCACGGAGUGGUGACAAGGAACAAGGCUCGACUUGUGGCAAAAGGUUAUGCCCAAGUCGCAGGUUUGGACUUUGAGGAGACUUUUGCUCCUGUGGCUAGGCUAGAGUCCAUUCAUAUCUUGCUAGCAUAUGCCGCUCACCAUUCUUUCAGGUUGUUCCAAAUGGAUGUGAAGAGCGCUUUCCUCAACGGGCCAAUCAAGGAGGAAGUGUACGUAGAGCAACCCCCUGGCUUCGAGGAUGAACGGUACCCCGACCACGUGUGUAAGCUCUCUAAGGCGCUCUAUGGACUUAAGCAAGCCCCAAGAGCAUGGUAUGAAUGCCUUAGAGAUUUCUUAAUUGCUAAUGCUUUCAAGGUUGGAAAAGCCGAUCCAACUCUUUUCACUAAGACUUGUGACGGUGAUCUUUUUGUGUGCCAAAUUUAUGUCGAUGACAUAAUAUUUGGUUCUACGAAUAAAAAGUCUUGUGAAGAAUUUAGCAGGGUGAUGACGCAGAAAUUCGAGAUGUCAAUGAUGGGCGAGUUGAACUACUUCCUUGGGUUCCAAGUGAAGCAACUCAAGGAUGGCACCUUCAUCUCUCAAACGAAGUACACACAAGACUUACUGAAGCGGUUUGGGAUGAAGGACGCCAAGCCCGCAAAGACUCCGAUGGGGACCGACGGACACACUGACCUCAACAAAGGAGGUAAGUCCGUUGAUCAAAAGGCAUACCGGUCAAUGAUAGGGUCUUUACUUUAUUUAUGUGCUAGUAGACCGGAUAUUAUGCUAAGCGUAUGCAUGUGUGCUAGAUUUCAAUCCGAUCCUAAGGAAUGUCACUUAGUGGCAGUGAAGCGAAUCCUUAGAUAUUUAGUUGCUACGCCUUGCUUCGGGCUCUGGUAUCCAAAGGGGUCUACCUUUGACUUGAUUGGAUAUUCAGAUUCCGACUAUGCUGGAUGUAAGGUCGAUAGGAAGAGUACAUCGGGGACGUGCCAAUUCUUAGGAAGGUCCCUGGUGUCAUGGAAUUCUAAGAAACAAACCUCCGUUGCCCUAUCCACCGCUGAGGCCGAGUAUGUUGCUGCAGGAAAGUGUUGCGCACAACUACUUUGGAUGAGGCAAACCCUGAGGGACUUUGGCUACAAUCUGAGCAAAGUCCCACUCCUAUGCGAUAAUGAGAGUGCUAUCCGCAUGGCGGAAAAUCCUAUUGAGCACAGCCGCACGAAGCACAUAGACAUCCGGCAUCACUUUUUGAGAGACCACCAGCAAAAGGGAGAUAUCGAAGUGUUUCAUGUUAGCACCGAGAACCAGCUAGCCGAUAUCUUUACCAAGCCUCUAGAUGAGAAGACCUUUUGCAGGUUGCGUAGUGAGCUAAAUAUCUUAGAUUCGCGGAACCUGGAUUGAUUUAUAGCAUACAUGUGUUUAUGCCUUUGAUCAUUGUUCCCUAUGCAUUUUGUUGCUAAAUAAUGGUGCUCAAGUUGUACAAACACUCCCUGGACCUCACAAGUCCGUUGCAAAGUGAUGCACAUGUUUAGGGGGAGAUGUGUUACAACUUGACCAUUUGAGACUAACCAUGUGCUUGAGUUUGAUGAUUUAGUCUCGAAGAAGGAUUGAAAGGAAAAAGGUGGACUUGGACCAUGAAAGACUUCCACUGCACUCCGAUGAGAGGGUAACUUAUUCCAAGUUCAUCUCAUGUACUCUUAUUGCCUUUGUAUUCUUAUUGAAGAUUUUGGUAAGGCAAUGGGGUUCAAGGGCCAAGGUUAAUCCCGUUUUGGUGCUUGAUGCCAAAGGGGGAGAAAAUAAAGGCCAAAGCGAUAAAUGGAUCAGCUACCACUUGAGAGAUUUUGAAAAUAGUAGAAUAGAGCUUUUGGUUUGUCAAAACUCUUUUAUUGUCUCUCUUGUCAAAAGUUGGCUUCUUGUGGGGAGAAAUGUUGAUUAUGGGAAAAAGGGGAGUUUUUGAAAUCUUGAAUCAAUUUCUCUUGGAAUGACUCUCUUAACAUGUGUGUUUGACUUAGAGAUAGAAAUUUGAGUUUGAUUUGCAAAAACAAACCAAGUGGUGGCAAAGAGUAAUCCAUAUAUGUCAAAUUUGAAUCAAAUGAUUUGAGUCCUUGUUUGAAGUGAUAUUGUAUUUGUUCCACUUGCUUUAUAUUGUGUUGGCAUAAAUCACCAAAAAGGGGGAGAUUGAAAGGGAAAUGUGCCCUUGGGCCAUUUCUAAGUAUUUUGGUGAUUUAGUGUCCAACACAAGUGCCUAAGUGUAAAAUGUGGACAAAGUACAAAUCAAGGAUAAAGGUAUGUUUCUCAGACUUAGUACAUUGUUUUAGUGACUAAUGUAUUGUGUCUAAGUGUUGGAAACAGGAAAAAUCGAAUUGGAAAUGAGAUGACUUUGUUCAGCCAAAGUCUGCUCAGUCUGGGAGCACCGGACUGUCCGGUGGUGCACCGGACAGUGUCCGGUGCGCCAGGCUGGCUCUGGCGAACAAGCCGCUCUCGGGAAUUCAUCGGCGACGUACGGCUAUAAUUCACCGGACUGUCCGGUGUGCACCGGACUGUCCGGUGAGCCAACGGUCGGCCGGGCCAACGGUCGGCCGCGCGAUCUGCGCGGGACACGUGGCCGAGCCAACGACUAGAAGGGGGCACCGGACUGUCCGGUGUGCACCGGACAUGUCCGGUGCGCCAACGGCUCUCAGGCUGCCAACGGUCGACUGCGCCAUUUAUGGAAAGAAAUCGGGCACCGGACAUGUCCGGUGUGCACCAGACUGUCCGGUGCUCCAGUCGGCAGAAGGCAAGAUCAGCCUUCCUAGAUUGCUCUCAACGGCUCCUAGCUGCCUUGGGGCUAUAAAAGGGACCCCUAGGCGUAUGGAGGAGUACACCAAGCAUCCUUUGAGCACUAUUGAUCACUCACACAUCAUUCUUGCGCACUUGUUCGCCAUUCUAGUGAUUUGAGCCUCGUUCUAGUGUGCUAGUCUUUUGAGCUCAAGUCUGGGUCUUGUGUGUGCGUAGUUGCUGUGAUCUUUGUGUCUUGUGUGAGUUGCUCAUCCCUCCCUUACUCCGUGAUUCUUUGUGAACAUCAAAAGUGUAAGGGCGAGAGGCUCCAAGUUGUGGAGAUUCCUCGCGAACGGGAUAAGAAAAGAAAAGCAAAACACUGUGGUAUUCAAGUUGAUCAUUGGAUCACUUGAGAGGAGUUGAGUGCAACUCUCGUCCGUUGGGACGCCACAACGUGGAGUAGGCAAGUUUUGUACUUGGUCGAACCACGGGAUAAACCACUGUGUCAUCUCUGUGUUGAUCUCUUUGAGGUUAUCGUAUUGUGCAAAUUCUUCUCUCUAGCUACUUGGUGAUUAUUGUGCUAACACUUAACCAAGUUUUGUGGCUUAAGUUUUAAGUUUUACAGGAUCACCUAUUCACCCCCCCUCUAGGUGCUCUCAGUACAGGAUAGAGUUGAGACUACGGAGGUGUUAGAGUACCUAUUAGAGUUUUAGGUAUUUCCUAUGUAAUUACCCUCUCGUCCCUACUAUAAUGGGUCUGCCCCAACUAAUAAGUCUAUUAAAACAUUUCCUAACCGCACUCAGGGGUUAGGGUUUCCUAUAGCUGGUAUUGCUGCAGUGUUGUGGCAUGGAUGAGGGACAAGUGUGGGUCCACGUGCUGCUGUGUUGGUGAUGGCGUGCUCUAGCGACGUGCAAAGUGCUGGUGGCACGGGCAGGGUCGUGCUUGAGAUUUAACGGACUCUAGGCAAAAGCUUAUAUAUGGUCAUUUUAACCAUAUAUUUAUACAUAAUCUCUCUCUAUAUAUAAACACACAUUUUGAAAGGUACAACAUUAUUACAUUACUAAUGAGUAAAAAAGUUAUUUAAUUAGAAUUCACAAACCAUUAGCUGGCUCCCUAGCAGGCCAAAGCAAACAACAGGCCAAACGACAAUUAGCUGGCUCCCUAGCUGUCGUAUACAUGUAUGCGUAUGUGCGAACGUUGAUUGUCGAGCGUGUCUUCAGCCCUGUCCUUUGACAGCAUGGUAGAGACAUGAAUUAGGUUUUCUCAAUGUAGUCUGUUUUGACUUGGUACUUGGGAUUGGUUUGGCCAGGUUCGAUAAUGUCUAAGUUCGAUGAUGGCGUACUACUCAGGGUAGCAGGGCUAGACUACUGUAGCAUUAGGGCAACCAAGCCAACACUGAUUAGGCCGAUUAAACAACUAAGGGUAUGUUUAGUUCAGUUGUGGAUUUCAGAAAAUCUAAUUCUAGUUGUGAGCUGUAAAAAAGCUGCUGUGAGCUGAUAUUUUCAGGAAUUGAUUAUGUUGUUGUACCCGUUUGGUUGAGAUUUCAAAAUUUUGGUAGCAAAUAUAGUGUAGAAAACUGAACCAAAUACACUCUAAGUAUUAUACUUAAAUUUAUACUUAUAUACUUGAGUGGGGGCCUGGGCGGCCGCCCACCUAGCGCCCCCUCUGGUCCAGACCUGGGCACGGGCGUGGGCGGCUCAGGUUCUGAGUACCGUGGUUAGGAGGCGGCCGCCCACCUAGCGCCCCCUCUGGUCCAGACCUGGGCACGGGCGUGGGCGGCUCAGGUUCCGAGUACCGUGGUUAGGAAGGAAGUUAUGACCUAUUUUAGUUAAGCUUUGUGGACUAAAAUUUAAUAUAGUAUAGAUAUUAUUGAACCGCGAUCGGGGUUGCAACCUUGGUACUAGAUUCCCUCCUGCUGUCAAAUUUCAUCAUUUUAUUCACAAAGUUCUAUCAUAUUGAACAGAGACAAUUCAAUCUAGGUAGUUUAUUUACACACGUAGAUCUUUCAUAGAUCCAAAUACUAAUUUUCCCCAAGAUGGAGUGGCAGAGCUUAUGACCAAGUCAAACUUUUCUCGUUGGAUUUAGGUCUUUUUUUUGUACCAAUUCAAACUUUUCUAGUUGUGACCAAGUCCGUAGAAAAUUGUACCAAUAUCUACAACAUCAAAUUAGGGGUAUUUGAAUGCACUAGAGAUAAUAGUUAGUGGCUAAAAUUAGCUAGAGACAUCCAAACACCCUAGAUAUUAGCUAUUUACAGUAAAUUAGCUACUCGUUAGCUAACUAUUUGUUAGCUAGCUAAUUCUACUAGUAUAUUUUAGCUAACUAAAUAUUAUCUCUAGUGCAUUCAAACAUCCCCUUAGUUAAUUAAAUCCACAAUUAAAUAUGAGCUGUAGUGCAUUUAUUCCGUAUUGUAUGUAGAUUGUUACUGUAUUUUCUACAAACUUGGUCAAGAUGUUUGACUUGGAACAAAAUGAAACACCAUACAUUUUCGGAACCAAACGUAUAUAAAUUCGUAGGAUGACAGCUUUGCCUACAAAUAGUAGUUACUCUCCAUGGUUAGCUGGGACGGUGUCAUCGCCGUGCCGCUGAAAUUCAGAAUCCCAUUCUGCUCGAUUAUCUGCAUGCACAGGAUUAUAUCUGUUAUGGUUGGCCAGCGCAUCUAUCCAUUCCUAGAUCAGUAGAUCCUAAUGCGAUCUUUCAGAGAGAGUGUUCUUUAUAUAUAAAUAUUAUAAAAGAAAAGCUACGCAGAUUUUGCAAUACCCUUUCCUGAAGCACGCCAUUGACAGCCUGCAGUAUGGCCUCCUGCAAAACAGAAGCGCAAAGAACCUUCGGUGACGGAAAUUGCUGAGCCUGAGCUUUGUUGCAGGAACAGAGCGACAAAUACUGAACCUGACCUUGUUCCUGAGCAUGUCAAUCUCCCUGGAGAUGAUCUGCAUCUGUUCAACAUAUGAGGUCAGUACAUCUGAACUUGCAGAUACUAUUUUUCUUUUUGAAAAAAAGAUUUCAUCUGUGUGUAUCAAGAAGCUAAAACUUACCUUCUGGGAGCGAAUGUUAUUUGCCCACAUUUCAAGAUUAUUUUCCAGGGUCUGGAGCUCGACAAGAUUCAUGUGGUUUAUAUCAUUCUCUCCAUGCAUGUACCUGCAUGGAUGUGCUGAGAUCUGUCAUGAGCCCUGCAAUCGAUUCUAUAAUUUGUGAUUUGUGGAUUCUUGGUAGUUCAACAUGACCAUCAGCUGUACUGGUAAGUUGUUGAACAUAAAUAUAGCUACGAAGCUGCAUCCUCUCCAAAGUUUAUGAAGCUGGAUGGCGGUUUUGUACACGUUUUAGAAAAUAAAAGAAAUAGGAAAGUAAUGGAAGGAACAUCUUUAUUUCAAAAAAAGGACCAUCUUUAGCUACUCACAAAUUCUUCUGAAUUCACAACAGCUCUCCUGGCUACAUCUGUGAAGAGAUGUCAUGCAACUUGUGUUACUCUUAUCCAACCUAGCUUUGUGCUAUCAUUAACACUUUCAGUUCUUUUUCUGAUGCUGCAUGCCGUACACACUAUUGUUUGCAAAAAGCAUGUAGCGCGCAAGACAAUAAAUUUUACUCU